GAUGAACGCUGGCGGCGUGCCUAAUACAUGCAAGUCGAGCGAAUGGAUUAAGAGCUUGCUCUUAUGAAGUUAGCGGCGGACGGGUGAGUAACACGCGGGUAACCUGCCCAUAAGACUGGGAUAACUCCGGGAAACCGGGGCUAAUACCGGAUAACAUUUUGAACCGCAUGGUUCGAAAUUGAAAGGCGGCUUCGGCUGUCACUUAUGGAUGGACCCGCGUCGCAUUAGCUAGUUGGUGAGGUAACGGCUCACCAAGGCAACGAUGCGUAGCCGGCCUGGGAGGGUGAGCGGCCAGACUGGGACUGAGACACGGCCCAGACUCCUACGGGAGGCAGCAGUAGGGAAUCCUCCGCAAUGGACGAAAGUCUGACGGAGCAACGCCGCGUGAGUGAUGAAGGCUUUCGGGUCGUAAAACUCUGUUGUUAGGGAAGAACAAGUGCUAGUUGAAUAAGCUGGCACCUUGACGGUACCUAACCAGAAAGCCACGGCUAACUACGUGCCAGCCGCCGCGGUAA
RNAcentral lists this ribosomal RNA (515 nucleotides) under uncultured bacterium. RNAcentral describes it as "partial 16S ribosomal RNA". It matches the Rfam family "Bacterial small subunit ribosomal RNA", at positions 28 to 523 of the family's 1533-position model. The record is from RNAcentral.